AUUGAACGCUGGCGGAAUGCUUUACACAUGCAAGUCGAACGGCAGCACGGACUUCGGUCUGGCGGCGAGUGGCGAACGGGUGAGUAAUACAUCGGAACGUGCCCAGUCGUGGGGGAUAACGUAGCGAAAGCUACGCUAAUACCGCAUACGAUCUAAGGAUGAAAGCGGGGGAUCGCAAGACCUCGCGCGAUUGGAGCGGCCGAUGGCAGAUUAGGUAGUUGGUAGGGUAAAGGCCUACCAAGCCGACGAUCUGUAGCUGGUCUGAGAGGAUGAUCAGGCACACUGGGACUGAGACACGGCCCAGACUCCUACGGGAGGCAGCAGUGGGGAAUUUUGGACAAUGGGCGCAAGCCUGAUCCAUCCAUUCCGCGUGCAGGAUGAAGGCCUUCGGGUUGUAAACUGCUUUUGUACAGAACGAAAAGGCUCUGGUUAAUACCCGGGGCUCAUGACGGUACUGUAAGAAUAAGCACCGGCUAACUACGUGCCAGCCGCCGCCGUAA
RNAcentral lists this ribosomal RNA (500 nucleotides) under uncultured bacterium. RNAcentral's name for it is "partial 16S ribosomal RNA". It matches the Rfam family "Bacterial small subunit ribosomal RNA", at positions 30 to 523 of the family's 1533-position model. The record is from RNAcentral.